CAGUGUGGGAAUUCACACAGGAAGGCAGAGCGGUACCUGGUUCAUCCUCGCCGAGGAACAUGUGGGGUGUGUGACACAUGCCGGCCACUCUGUGUGUCCAUGAACAUCAAUGAGCACAUGUGUCUGGGCUUACCAAUCAAUGCCAGUAGGAAGACCAAUCUGCACAGACAGACUCCGUGAAUAAUGAACAUGGACUCUUUGUGACAUAUGACCCCAAAGGCAGUGGAAACAUCCAUGGACAGACUUCAGUUACUGUAGAUUUCAUUAAUUUACUCAAUAAACCUUUCUCAAGCCCUGCCCAUGCAGCAGGGACAUUUGGAGUGGAAGGUAGUGGGGAGGAAAAGCCUCGUGUAGAGAAAGAGUG
Molecule: long non-coding RNA, 364 nt
Organism: Herpailurus yagouaroundi (jaguarundi)
Lineage: Eukaryota; Metazoa; Chordata; Mammalia; Carnivora; Felidae
Exons: 3
Source: RefSeq, a predicted model, not a curated record